This 558-nucleotide ribosomal RNA is filed under the name Triticum aestivum (bread wheat). Its description in RNAcentral is "partial small subunit ribosomal RNA". The record is from RNAcentral. Lineage: Eukaryota; Viridiplantae; Streptophyta; Magnoliopsida; Poales; Poaceae.
AUGGGAGUGCAUCACUGGUUCGAUGCCGUCCAGAAGUCCACCGGAGUCGGAGCAGGUAGACCCCCUAUCGUUCCUAUCCCCGGUUCCAACAAUGGACUAGUGCGCGAGCCAUCUGCAGAUUUGGAGGAGAUGCAGGUUAUGCGGCAUUCGACGGUUGAAGAUCCCUCUGAUGUGGUCAUCUCAGGAUUCAACACAGCUCUCCCCGCUGCUAGCAACAGAUUGAACAGUUGUUCCAAGCAUGUGUAUGGUCUUGCAGUGAUAGCUGGAGAAGAUAUCAAUUAUCUGUCAGCCAACAUUUGGAAAGCGUCUGAUGUCAAGAGAGGGGAACAACAGCUCUCUGCAUAUCUUCGUCAUCACGACUGUGGUCGAGAGGGAUACCCACAAGCUGGUGUGGAUGGGAUUAUAAGUUACCAGCUAGGCAUGGCUUCGACGAGCUCCAUAGUUAAUCAGCGGGAUACUGAUUUGAUUGCCCUUGUAGCUUCUGCAUUUGGAGACCCGGGUCAUGAUUCAGGGGAGGGGGGAAAUGGCUAUGGCCUAGUCUUUUGGUCAGUUUGCUGA